Molecule: ribosomal RNA, 486 nt
Filed under: uncultured bacterium
Lineage: Bacteria
Description: partial 16S ribosomal RNA
Rfam family: Bacterial small subunit ribosomal RNA
Source: RNAcentral
AUUGAACGCUGGCGGCAUGCCUUACACAUGCAAGUCGAACGGCAGCACGGGUGCUUGCACCUGGGGGCGAGUGGCGAACGGGUGAGUAAUACAUCGGAACAUUUCCUUUGGUGGGGGGUUACCUUGCGGGAGCCGGAUUAAUACCCCGAUCGAUCUACGUGUGACAUGGGGGGGCUUGCAGGGCUCCGGCGGUUGGGUUUGGCGUCGGCGGAUUUGCUAGUUGGGGGGGUGAAGGCCUAUCAAGGGGGCGAUCCGUAGAUGGUGGGAGAGGGCGAUCAGCCACACUGGGACUGAGCCACGGACCAGACUCCUACGGGAGGCAGCAGUGGGGAAUUUUGGACAAUGGGCGAGAGCCUGAUACAGCAAUGCCACGUGUGUGAAGAAAGCCUUCGGGUUGUAAAGCACUUUUGUCCGGAAAGAAAUCCUUGGCCCUAAUACGGUCGGGGGAUGACGGUACCGGAAGAAUAAGCACCGGCUAACUACGUG